RNAcentral lists this ribosomal RNA (322 nucleotides) under uncultured eukaryote. RNAcentral's name for it is "partial 18S ribosomal RNA". It matches the Rfam family "Eukaryotic small subunit ribosomal RNA", at positions 1470 to 1796 of the family's 1831-position model. The record is from RNAcentral.
CCCUUAGAUGUUGUGGGCCGCACGCGUGCUACACUGAGUGGAUCAGCGGGUCAGGUUGCGCGAAAGCGUUUCCUAAUCUUUAAAUCCGCUCGUGAUGGGGAUUGACGGUUGCAAUUUUCUGUCAUGAACGAGGAAUACCUUGUAAGCGCGGGUCAUCAUCCCGCGCUGAAUACGUCCCUGCCCUUUGUACACACCGCCCGUCGCUCCUACCGAUUGAGUGGUCCGGUGAGGCUUUGGGAUCUGAGCGGAAAGAGCGUUUCGCUGUUUCUGCUCGGAAAACUCAGUCGAACCUUAUCAUUUAGAGGAAGGAGAAGUCGUAACA